This 497-nucleotide ribosomal RNA is filed under the name uncultured bacterium. RNAcentral's name for it is "partial 16S ribosomal RNA". It matches the Rfam family "Bacterial small subunit ribosomal RNA", at positions 28 to 507 of the family's 1533-position model. The record is from RNAcentral.
GAUGAACGCUGGCGGCGUGCUUAACACAUGCAAGUCGAGCGGACGGACCAUAAGCUUGUUUCUUUUAUGUUAGCUGCGGACGGGCGAGUAACACGUGGACAACCCCCCUAUAAGACUGGGAUAACUUCGGGAAACCGGAGCUAAUACCGGAUAAUAUUUUGAACCGUAUGGUUCAAAAGUGAAAGACGGUCUUUCUGUCACUUAUAGAUGGAUCUGCGCUGCAUUAGCUAGUUGGUAAGGUAACGGCAUACCAAGGCAACGAUGCAUAGACGACCUGAGAGGGUGGUAGGCCACACUAGAACGGAGACGCGGUCCAGACUAAUACGGGAGGCAGCAGAAGGGAAUGUGACGCAAUGGGAGGGAGCAUGACGGAGCAACGCCAAGUGGGUGGUAAAAGUCUUCGGAUAGUGAUACUCUGUUAUUAGGGAAAAACAUAUGUGUAAGUAACUGUGCACAUCUUGACGGUACCUAAUCAAAAAGCAACGGCUAACUACGUG